UUGCUUGUGUGUGCUUCUGCCUAUCCCUA
Molecule: non-coding RNA, 29 nt
Filed under: Rattus norvegicus (Norway rat)
Lineage: Eukaryota; Metazoa; Chordata; Mammalia; Rodentia; Muridae
Source: RNAcentral